This is a long non-coding RNA of Sebastes umbrosus (honeycomb rockfish), 428 nucleotides long. RefSeq lists it as uncharacterized. Lineage: Eukaryota; Metazoa; Chordata; Actinopteri; Perciformes; Sebastidae. The transcript has 4 exons. The record is from RefSeq and is a predicted model, not a curated record.
AUGAUCUCAAGGUCCUGUUGAUGAGGUCCAGGUUGGCCCUGAGGGUCAUGUUGACGAGGUCCUUGCUGGCCCUGAGGGAAAUGCUGACAAGGUCCCCGAUGUCCCUGAGGGUCCUGAUGGCGAGGUCCUCGUUGGCCCUGAGGGGCUGUUUGGCGAGGUCCUCGUUGUCCCUGAGGGGCCUGUUGGCGAGGUCCUCGUUGGCCCUGAGGGUCAUGUUGACGAGGUCCUUGCUGGCCCUGAGGGAAAUGCUGACAAGGUCCCCGAUGUCCCUGAGGGUCCUGAUGGCGAGGUCCUCGUUGGCCCUGAGGGGCUUGUUGGCGAGGUCCUCGUUGGCCCUGAGGGGCUGUUUGGCGAGGUCCUCGUUGUCCCUGAGGGGCCUGUUGGCGAGGUCCUCGUUGGGCCUCAGGGUCCUGCCGAUGAGGUUCAUG